ACGCUCGACACCUACGGGAGGCAGCAGUCGGGAAUAUUGCGCAAUGGAGGAAACUCUGACGCAGUGACGCCGCGUAUAGGAAGAAGGUUUUCGGAUUGUAAACUAUUGUCGUUAGGGAAGAUACAAGACAGUACCUAAGGAGGAAGCACCGGCUAACUAUGUGCCCGCAGUCGCGGUAAUCUGAGCGGGCUGCAAGGC
This 198-nucleotide ribosomal RNA is filed under the name uncultured bacterium. RNAcentral's name for it is "partial 16S ribosomal RNA". It matches the Rfam family "Bacterial small subunit ribosomal RNA", at positions 328 to 538 of the family's 1533-position model. The record is from RNAcentral.